Non-coding RNA from Perca fluviatilis (European perch), 747 nucleotides. The record is from the annotation of a RefSeq genome assembly. NCBI's taxonomy places the organism in Eukaryota, Metazoa, Chordata, Actinopteri, Perciformes, Percidae.
UGUUUGCAUAUGUGUCCUGCCUCUCUGCUCCCAGCCGUUAAGAGGCCAGUGUUGAUCAGUGGCUGUCCAGGCCUUUCAGAGACACUGGUACACCGGCAGCACAAUGAUGAUGUCACUGACUCUACUGCUGGCCACCCUGGGGCUCCUUGUUCAGGGUUCAUCAGGACAAAUCAUCCUGACUCAGUCUCCUGGAUCUCAGUCUGUAGUUGCAGGACAGACUGUCUCCAUCAGAUGUAAAACCAGUACAAGUGUUGGUAGCUCCCUCCACUGGUACCUUCAGAAAUCUGGAGAAGCUCCUAAACUCCUGAUUUAUUCAGCUACAACCCGUCAGUCUGGAGUUUCAGAUCGUUUUACUGGAAGUGGUUCUGGGACUGACUUCACUCUGACCAUCAGAGGAGUCGAGGCUAAAGAUUCAGGAGUUUACUACUGUCAGCAGGGUAGCAACUGGCCACUCACACAGUGAUACAACGUCGUACAAAAACCUCCCUCAGCUGGAGAGGAACUGAUCUGACUCAACAGCUGCACUGAAACUAAAACAACAGAAGCUUGACUAAACUAAAAUAUAUAUUUCAUAAUAAUUUACUUUAAACAAUUUAACACUAAAUAUAUUUUAUCUAAACUAGAAAUUAUAUUGUAAAUUAUUUCAUUAAAACCAGGUUAGAAACAUUCUGCUCCACAUCAGAGCUGACCUCUGUUGAAGUAUGAUUUCAAUUCUUUGACAAGUUUAAUCCAGAGUAUGAUAACACA